AGCAGCCGCGGUAAUUCCAGCUCCAAUAGCGUAUAUUAAAGUUGUCGCAGUUAAAAAGCUCGUAGUUGAAUUUCGGGAUCAGUACGCUGGUCGUGCCCUCGGUAUGUACUGGUGUUACUGGUUCCUACCUUCUGACGAACCGUCAUGUCAUUAAUUUGGUGUGGCGGGGAAUCAGGACUGUUACUUUGAAAAAAUUAGAGUGUUUAAAGCAGGCUCGCGCUUGAAUACAUUAGCAUGGAAUAAUGAAAUAGGACGUUCGAUCCUAUUUUGUUGGUUUCUAGGAUUGACGUAAUGAUUAAUAGGGAUAGUUGGGGGCAUUAGUAUUCAAUUGUCAGAGGUGAAAUUCUUGGAUUUAU
RNAcentral lists this ribosomal RNA (356 nucleotides) under uncultured Glomeraceae. RNAcentral's name for it is "SSU rRNA". It matches the Rfam family "Eukaryotic small subunit ribosomal RNA", at positions 569 to 929 of the family's 1831-position model. Lineage: Eukaryota; Fungi; Glomeromycota; Glomeromycetes; Glomerales; Glomeraceae. The record is from RNAcentral.